This 85-nucleotide transfer RNA is filed under the name Fusobacteriia bacterium 4572_132. Its description in RNAcentral is "tRNA-Leu". It matches the Rfam family "tRNA". From Rfam's summary of the family: Transfer RNA (tRNA) molecules are approximately 80 nucleotides in length. Their secondary structure includes four short double-helical elements and three loops (D, anti-codon, and T loops). The record is from RNAcentral. Lineage: Bacteria; Fusobacteriati; Fusobacteriota; Fusobacteriia.
GCAAGAGUGGCGGAAUUGGUAGACGCGCACGCUUGAGGGGCGUGUGAUUAACUUCGUACGGGUUCAAGUCCCGUCUUUUGCACCA